GCUCGUACUACAUUUGUUGUCAUUCCCUGCAUGACAACAGUGUACAAUUUCGACAUUAAAUAGGAAAGAUUUUGAACUAUCUACAGCUUUGGCUUAAGAUGUUAAUAGGCAACGGAUUCUGCAUAUUAGCAUUCAAUUUUGUGUCGUUCAACUGUGGAGUGUAUGGUUUGGAUUGGCCAUGGAAUUGGAAAAGGAAAGAUAGCACAUGCUACACCACGUGUUUGGCAGCAUUUAACACAGGUGCAGUUGUUGCAAUCCCAUUGGCAAUACCUGCAUUAGGAUUUGGCGCCGCAGGUGGUGUUGCUGUGUUUCCUGCUGCUCUUCCGAUAGGAGUUGUGAAUGCCGGAAACUGGUUUGGGACAAUGAAGUUGUUAUCUAUUGUUUCACAACUGUGUGCAGCUAUAUGCGGGAUUAAAGAAGAAGACCUAAAAUGUAAUAAUUUGCCACUGGGCGUUAAGCAACCAACAAUCAAUCAAUCAAUAAAAUGUAAUACUCACAGAAUCAACGGAAUGAAAGGCUUAGAUGAAAAUCUCAUAAAAGCUGAAAAAGUAAAUAAUAUAGAAAAAUGUGAAGGGCUAUGCAACGAUGAAAAAGAUUGCAGAGCCUUCCGAUAUCUGUCGAAAAAUAGCUUAUGUUUUGUUUACAAUCUACAACGACAUAUUGAAGAUGAUAUCAAUGAAAGCCAGUUCUAUGUGAAACGUUGCGUUUUAUGCUACAUGAACACCAUGAAAAAUGCAAAAGGACGUGACGAUGAAAUUGAAUCAAUUUGGGAAGAAUCCUCUCUUAUAGAAUGUGAAAAUAAAUGCAUUAAGUCAGACGACUGCAGAGCUGUUCAUUUUGAUGGAAAAAGGUGCUUCAAAUUUAACGAUGAAGUGAAACCGUAUAAGAAAACUGGCAUUCAUUUUUCAAGAAAGAUAUGUGUUCAUUAUACUGAUUAAAAUGAAUAUGAUGGCUAGAGUAUGAAAAAGCUGAAGAGGUCUUGGUCAUGAAUUUUACAUGAUUGUAUAGUAAAUACUAAGUAAAAUAACAAUAAAAAACCGAACUCCAUGGAUCAUUUAAAUCGGAAAGUCCCUUAUCAAAUGGCAAAAAAAAAUAUCAAAAGCUCAAACACAUGAAAUGAAUGGAAAACAGCUGUCAUAUUCCUGACUUGGUACAGUCAUUUCCUUAUGUAGAAGGGAGACUGAAAAUACAAUUUCCUCUUGAUUAAUACAUGGUAAUUGAAAUUUAUUGUAUAGCCGUUACCAUAUUAUCAUGUUUUCAGGAUAUAUGUUUCACACAGCAUUUACAAAUAUAUUUUUUUUUAAACCAAGAUCAUUAUGUUUAGUACUCUUAAUGCCACUAAAUCUCCCUUUUAACAAGAACGACUGUUUGCUUUCAGAUUAAGGCAUUUUAAGUUUUACACCAGAAUACCAAACGAAUCAUCAAAACAUAUUUGAAUAAGAUGUUUAUUUCCAUGCAGUUUAAUUCGUUAAAUACCUACUAUUAGUUCAUUAAAUGCUUAAAUAAAAAUCGUGCAUAUUCGGGAAACGACAUGUUAGUCCUUUAUUGGUUUAACCAGUUGAUGAACCAUUAGAAAGUAUAUAAAACUUAUCUUUGUUUUCGAAAAAUUAGGCCAGUAUUGACCAGAGCACAUUUCAUAUGACUUUUUAAAAGGUAAUUUCAGAAAAGUGAAGUGUGCAUUGAUUUGAAAAGUUAUUAAACCAUUAUUAAAAAUUUGUGUUUUUCUUGCAAUUUUUAGUUUUUUACUCUAGUAUUUUUUCUUUUAGCCUUUUUUUUGUGUGAUGUUGACUGUCUUCUUCCACAAAUGUUUUUUGAUAGUUUAAACAUUUCCAUAGAUCAUUGACUAUCUAAUCACUUUUCUUAAUCAAUUAUUCAUGUGAUCGAUAUAAACAGAAGGUUAUACUUGACUGCAACAGAUAACUGAAAGAUUAUAUCACUUUAAGGAAUAAAAAUAGAAAUGUAGGAAAAGUGUUGAAAAGAAGUACUGUUAUUAAAAAAACCAAUGUCGUUUUAUUAUUUAUUUGAAGUUAUGUUGUGUGUUCAUUAUAUUUAUCUUCACACUUGCCUUGGAUUCCAUAUUUGACUAUGGUUUAUUAUUUCUAAAUUUUAUUGGUUAUGUAAGUAAGUCAAAUUUGUCUCCUGAGAAAAUUAUUCUAAAUAUGUAUUAGUUUAUAUAAAUUGUUAAGAACUAUGUAUUGUUUUUAAACAAGGAAUUUCUAGAUUCAUUGAAUUGUUGUACAUAUAAAAUGGAAAUAAAACCGGUAUGAGAAAAUCUGUACCAGAUCUUUGAAAUCAUA
Molecule: long non-coding RNA, 2297 nt
Organism: Mytilus californianus (California mussel)
Lineage: Eukaryota; Metazoa; Mollusca; Bivalvia; Mytilida; Mytilidae
Exons: 4
Source: RefSeq, a predicted model, not a curated record